CCCUUAGGUGUUCUGGGCCGCACGCGCGCUACACUGAUACAUGCAACGAGUUUAUAACCUUGAUCUGACGGUCUGGGUAAUCUUCAAACUGUAUCGUGUUAGGGAUCGAUUCUUGCAAUUUUUAAUCGUAAACGAGGAAUUCCUAGUAAACGCAAGUCAUCAGCUUGCAUUGAUUACGUCCCUGCCCUUUGUACACACCGCCCGUCGACUCUACCGAUUGAAUGGUUCGGUGAAAACUUUGGACUGUGGCAUUGUCCUUCAUUGGACUUCGCCGUAGGAAAUUGUUUAAACCUCAUCAUUUAGAGGAAGAAUAAGUCGUAACA
RNAcentral lists this ribosomal RNA (323 nucleotides) under uncultured eukaryote. Its description in RNAcentral is "partial 18S ribosomal RNA". It matches the Rfam family "Eukaryotic small subunit ribosomal RNA", at positions 1470 to 1796 of the family's 1831-position model. The record is from RNAcentral.